Molecule: ribosomal RNA, 460 nt
Filed under: uncultured bacterium
Lineage: Bacteria
Description: partial 16S ribosomal RNA
Rfam family: Bacterial small subunit ribosomal RNA
Source: RNAcentral
CCUACGGGAGGCAGCAGUGAGGAAUAUUGGUCAAUGGACGAGAGUCUGAACCAGCCAAGUAGCGUGAAGGAUGACUGCCCUAUGGGUUGUAAACUUCUUUUAUACAGGAAUAAAACGAGGCACGUGUGCCUUUUUGCAUGUACUUUAUGAAUAAGGAUCGGCUAACUCCGUGCCAGCAGCCGCGGUAAUACGGAGGAUCCGAGCGUUAUCCGGAUUUAUUGGGUUUAAAGGGUGCGUAGAUGGGUUGUUAAGUCAGUUGUGAAAGUUUGCGGCUCAACCAUAAAAUUGCAAUUGAUACUGGCAGUCUUGAGUACAGUUGAGGUAGGCGGAAUUCGUGGUGUAGCGGUGAAAUGCUUAGAUAUCACGAAGAACCCCGAUUGCGAAGGCAGCUUACGAAACUGUGACUGACAUUGAUGCUCGAAAGUGUGGGUAUCAAACAGGAUUAGAUACCCCUGUAGUC